ACUAGCCGUUUUAAGGGGCUGCUGGCACGUAGUUAGCCGGCGCUUCUUCUGCAGGUACCGUCACUCUCGCUUCUUCCCUGCUGAAAGAGGUUUACAACCCGAAGGCCGUCAUCCCUCACGCGGCGUCGCUGCAUCAGGCUUUCGCCCAUUGUGCAAUAUUCCCCACUGCUGCCUCCCGUAGGAGUCUGGGCCGUGUCUCAGUCCCAGUGUGGCCGGUCGCCCUCUCAGGCCGGCUACCCGUCGUCGCCUUGGUGAGCCGUUACCUCACCAACAAGCUGAUAGGCCGCGGGCUCAUCCUGCACCGCCGGAGCUUUCCAACCUCCCAGAUGCCCAGGAGGCUCGUAUCCGGUAUUAGACCCCGUUUCCAGGGCUUGUCCCAGAGUGCAGGGCAGAUUGCCCACGUGUUACUCACCCGUUCGCCACUAAUCCACCCCGAAGGGCUUCAUCGUUCGACUUGCAUGUGUUAAGCACGCCGCCAGCGUUCGUCCUGAGCCAGGAUCAAACUCUCCGU
RNAcentral lists this ribosomal RNA (511 nucleotides) under Streptomyces sp. KY002. RNAcentral's name for it is "partial 16S ribosomal RNA". The record is from RNAcentral. Lineage: Bacteria; Bacillati; Actinomycetota; Actinomycetes; Kitasatosporales; Streptomycetaceae.